Molecule: ribosomal RNA, 453 nt
Filed under: uncultured Prevotellaceae bacterium
Lineage: Bacteria; Pseudomonadati; Bacteroidota; Bacteroidia; Bacteroidales; Prevotellaceae
Description: bacterial SSU rRNA
Rfam family: Bacterial small subunit ribosomal RNA
Source: RNAcentral
ACGGGAGGCAGCAGUGAGGAAUAUUGGUCAAUGGAGGCAACUCUGAACCAGCCAUCUCGCGUGAAGGAAUACGGCCCUACGGGUCUUAAACUUCUUUUAUAGGGGGAUAAAGUGAGGCAUGCAUGCCUUUUUGUAGGUACCCUAUGAAUAAGCAUCGGCUAACUCCGUGCCAGCAGCCGCGGUAAUACGGAGGAUGCGAGCGUUAUCCGGAUUUAUUGGGUUUAAAGGGAGCGUAGGCGGCCUUUUAAGUCAGCGGUCAAAUGUCAGCGCCCAACGCUGGCCUGCCGUUGAUACUGAUGGGCUUGAAUACACACAAGGAAGGUGGAAUUCGUCGUGUAGCGGUGAAAUGCUUAGAUAUGACGAAGAACUCCGAUUGCGAAGGCAGCCUUCUGGAGUGCGAUUGACGCUGAGGCUCGAAAGCGCGGGUAUCAAACAGGAUUAGAUACCCUGGUA